Molecule: ribosomal RNA, 424 nt
Filed under: uncultured bacterium
Lineage: Bacteria
Description: bacterial SSU rRNA
Rfam family: Bacterial small subunit ribosomal RNA
Source: RNAcentral
UAUUGGACAAUGGGGGGGCAACCCUGAUCCAGCCAUGACGCGUGUGUGAAGAAGGCCUUUUGGUUGUAAAGCACUUUAAGCAGUGAAGAAGACCUAACGGUUAAUACCCGUUAGCGAUGACAUUAGCUGCAUAAUAAGCACCGGCUAACUCUGUGCCAGCAGCCGCGGUAAUACAGAGGGUGCAAGCGUUAAUCGGAAUUACUGGGCGUAAAGCGAGCGUAGGUGGCUUGAUAAGUCAGAUGUGAAAUCCCCGGGCUUAACCUGGGAACUGCAUCUGAUACUGUCAGGCUAGAAUAGGUGAGAGGAAGGUAGAAUUCCAGGUGUAGCGGUGAAAUGCGUAGAGAUCUGGAGGAAUACCGAUGGCGAAGGCAGCCUUCUGGCAUCAUAUUGACACUGAGGUUCGAAAGCGUGGGUAGCAAACAGG